UUAAUUAUUUUAAAAUAAAAAUUUUUUUUAUAUUUUUAUUAAAUAAAAAGCUUUUUAUUUUUUUUAAAAAAUAAACUUUAUAGGAAAUAUUUUAAUUUUAAAAAAGUAUUAUUAAUUGUUUACCUUUUGUAUUAGGGAUCUUUAAAAAAAAAUAAAUUUUUAUUUUUCUCGAAAUAAAUAGAUCUAAUUAAAAUUUAUUAAAUUUGUUUCAAAAAAUAAGAUUAAAAUUUAAUUAGAAGUGAAAUUCUUUUCAAAAUUUAAGAUAUCUAGUUUUUUAAAAAAAUUAAAAAUUUAUUUGUUAAGUUUUGAAAAUAAUUAUAUAUAAAACAAAUUAUUAUUUUUGGGAUAAGCUAAAAAUAAUCUAAAUGAAUUAAACUUUUUUUAAUAAAAAGAAAUAAAAUAGUUCCUUAAAUUUUAAUAAAUAAUUUCAUUACUAUUUAAAAAAAUUAGUUUUUUAUUUAAUAAAAAUAAUUUACUUUUUAAAUAAAAAUGAAUAUAUUAGUAAAAUAUAAUUUUUUUAUAUAAAAUUUUAAAAUUUUAAAAAAAUUGUAAAUUAAAUUUAAAGAAUUCAGCAAAUAGUUUUUUUGACUGUUUAAUAAAAACAAUUCAUUUAGAAGUUUUUGAAAUAAAUGAAAAUUCUGCUCAAUGAUUAUAUUUUAAAUUGCUGUAGUAUUUUGACUAUACAAAGGUAUUGUAAUAAGAUUUUAAUUGAAUGCUAAGAGAAUGAAUUAACAAAAAAAUUCUUUUUUAAAUUUAAAAAUUAAAGUUAUUUUUAUUUGUGAAGAAACAAUAAUUUAAAUUAAGGACAAGAAGACCCUAAGAAUUUUAACUUUUUUAUUUAAAAAAGUUUAAUUGGGGAGAUUAAUAAAAAUUAAAAACUUUAUUUUUUAAAAAAAUGAACCAUUAAUAAUGGUUAUAUGAAAAAAAUACUCUAGGGAUAACAGCGUAAUAAUUUUUGAUAGUUCUUAUAGACAAAAUAGUUUGCGACCUCGAUGUUGGAUUAGGAUUCUUAUUUAAUGAAGAAGUUAAAUAAAGAAGUUUGUUCAACUUUUAAAUUCCUACAUGAUCUGAGUUUAGACCGAUGAGAAUCAGGUCAGUUUCUAUCUUAAUUAAUAUAAAUAAUUAAAAAUUAGUACGAAAGGAAUAUUUUUAAGAAAUUAUUUUUUUAAUCUUACAGUUUUUGCAUCAAUUUUUGGAAUU
Molecule: ribosomal RNA, 1200 nt
Filed under: Amblyomma gervaisi
Lineage: Eukaryota; Metazoa; Arthropoda; Arachnida; Ixodida; Ixodidae
Description: 16S ribosomal RNA
Source: RNAcentral